AUGGGCGUAUGGUCUCAGCAGGCAAUGGUUAAUUCUAAGAUUCUAGUCACAAUUAACAAAGGCACAUGCCACCUACUAUGCACUAAUUAACAACGCUUAACAAAAGCAUGCUUACCUAGAUGCCUAGAUACAGCAUCCAGAACAUUGGGAAAAACAAAUCUACAUUUCUAAAUCAAUUAAGCAUUCAAAUACAUGCAGAGAAUGAAAAUAAAAGUAACAUAGAGCACUCCUUCGAAAUAAUCCCUGGCGGUCAAGGAUUACUUCAUUUGACUGACUGAACUGCCCCAUUGAACAAUGCGUUGAUGAAAAAUCAGCAGCAAGACAAGAAACCAGAGAAUGUAACUUGAAUCUGUAACGCCUACAGGAAUGGAGACUGCUGCUUCAACUCUAAUAUGGAAGGGUCUCCAAAUGCAAUAUAACAACUGCAAACAAAUUCUACAUGAGAAUCAUGUUUUUGACCUCUUUUGCUUUUGAGGAACAAAGCGAACUGCUUGCUUCCCCAGUUCCAAUGUUUUUACUCUACCGUCAUCCAGUGUAACAGAUAAUGUUGAAGUGCAUUCAAUCAUGUCGGAGACAGCUCCUUUAUGCCAUGAAUUGUCAGAUGGCUGAUGAACUUCAACUCUCUUUCCAAUUGCAUC
This 638-nucleotide unclassified non-coding RNA is filed under the name Hevea brasiliensis (rubber tree). Lineage: Eukaryota; Viridiplantae; Streptophyta; Magnoliopsida; Malpighiales; Euphorbiaceae. The record is from RNAcentral.